This 484-nucleotide ribosomal RNA is filed under the name uncultured bacterium. RNAcentral describes it as "partial 16S ribosomal RNA". It matches the Rfam family "Bacterial small subunit ribosomal RNA", at positions 30 to 507 of the family's 1533-position model. The record is from RNAcentral.
AUUGAACGCUGGCGGCAGGCCUAACACAUGCAAGUCGAGCGGAUGAAGGGAGCUUGCUCCUGGAUUCAGCGGCGGACGGGUGAGUAAUGCCUAGGAAUCUGCCUGGUAGUGGGGGAUAACGUCCGGAAACGGGCGCUAAUACCGCAUACGUCCCGAGGGAGAAAGUGGGGGAUCUUCGGACCUCACGCUAUCAGAUGAGCCUAGGUCGGAUUAGCUAGUUGGUGGGGUAAAGGCCUACCAAGGCGACGAUCCGUAACUGGUCUGAGAGGAUGAUCAGUCACACUGGAACUGAGACACGGUCCAGACUCCUACGGGAGGCAGCAGUGGGGAAUAUUGGACAAAGGGCGAAAGCCUGAUCCGGCCAUGCCGCGUGUGUGAAGAAGGUCUUCGGAUUGUAAAGCGCUUUAAGUUGGGAGGAAGGGCAGUAAGUUAAUACCUUGCUGUUUUGACGUUACCAACAGAAUAAGCACCGGCUAACUUCGUG